UUACUUCAGCAGCACAGAUACUAAAAUUGUAGUAGUACAGAGAAGAUUAGCAUGGUCCCUGUCCAAGGAUGACACGCAAACUUGUGAAGUGUUCCAUUAAAAA
This 103-nucleotide small nuclear RNA is filed under the name Castor canadensis (American beaver). The record is from RNAcentral. Lineage: Eukaryota; Metazoa; Chordata; Mammalia; Rodentia; Castoridae.